Molecule: long non-coding RNA, 8773 nt
Filed under: Gossypium barbadense (sea-island cotton)
Lineage: Eukaryota; Viridiplantae; Streptophyta; Magnoliopsida; Malvales; Malvaceae
Description: long non-coding RNA (GBAR_LNC018861)
Source: RNAcentral
AUUAGUUGCCACCUCUAGCCAAUCAGAAGCUAUCUCGUGACACAUCCAUAUAAACACAAAUAAAAUCAUUUAAUAAAUUAUUUAAAGUCGUUCAUGUGUUUGUCUUUCUUCUUCUUCUUCUUCCCCUCUAUUAGAACAUGCUUGUGCAAUUACAACCAAAGAGACUACAAAAAUGCCAUGGACUUGAACUAAACACAAAUACGUUUGUGUUGGUAUGUGGGGGAUAAAAUUAAACUUAUAAGGAAUUAAUCAAAAGCUUUAAGGUGUGUAACCAUAUCACCUUUUUACGGUUUUAUUCGUCACCACCGUAUAUUUUAGUGUGCAAAAGAGUUACAAACAAGCCUAAUGACUGUUUGCAUUUUACACUAACAAAAACAUUCUAUUGAACAUUGUAUAAUAAGAUAAAUAUCAAUUUCUAUAGACAAUUUUUGCACCAAUUUAUUAUACAAUAAUCUUUGAAUAUAAAAGACUUGGGAGAACAAAAGGAAACUUUGUUUCUAUGCUUUUCUCAUUGUGCCUUGCAAAUGAAAUUUGAAUCUUAUUUAUAGGAGUUUUCAUGCCUCUUCGUAAAGACAUAAUUAUUUAAUAGAUAUCUAUUUUGAGGCACAUCUCCUAAAUAAAAAUAACUAUUCAACAAAUAUUACUUAAAUAAUUAUAGUUCUUUAUUAAAAUCAAGUGAUAAAUUUUGAUAUUUAAUUGACAUAACUCAUCAUUAUAAAUAGUGAGAAUUUUUUACUAAUAACCAAAUAUUAUAAGUAUUGAUUAUUUACAAUUUUCCAAUUAUAAUUAUUGAAAUAGCCAAACUAUUCCAAAAUACAGCACCAAAAGAAAGUUUCAAGAGUCUAAGUAAUAUUUAUAAUGUUUUGAAAAUAUUUCAACAUACAUCACUAUUAGAGGUGAUAAUGAAGAAGAAGAAAAAUAGAGUGAGAUUUUCAAGAAAAUUAUUAAGUUUUUAAAUUUAUUUUCAUCAUUUUUUUUGUUAUUUUUAUUUAAUUAAGUUAAUUUUGAAAAUAUUUCAACAUAAGAGAGAGAAAUAAAUUAUUAAUUUUUUGUUUUUAUUUAUUUUCAUCAAACCAUUAAAAAAAACUUUAAGUAGUAUUUGACAAGUCACUUAGUAAUUAAAUUUAGGUGUAAUUGUGUGUAAUUACACAAAAUGACAUGUUUGAGUAAUCUUAAUUUAUAAUUGGUGGGUCUCACUAGCAUCCAAAUAUACUUUCUAAUUUGUAGGAGAAGGGUGAGAAUUUGAGUAAUUACACUCAAAUCCAAUUUAAAAAAAUUAUUUUUAUACAAGUUAUAAAGAUCAUAUUAUAAGCAUGGACAUGUAUGUGUUUGCAGAUAGUUAUGACAAAAAAUUUCUUAUAUUAUAAAUACUAAAAAAUUAUAUUAUAAAAAUAAUUUGUGUAUUUUAUAAAGUUAUAAAAAUUAUAUCAUUUAAAUUCUAAAAAAAUUUUAAAGUUAUAAUAAAAAAGUUUAUUAUCAAAAAAUAAUUUACAUGUUAUAAAAGUGUUAUAAUAUAUUUAUUUAUAAAAAUUUGUGGUCAAGAAGUAUGAGUAUAACUUAUUUAUGUUUCCAUACUAUAUAUUAUAAAAAUAAUAUACUUAUUCAUAAAAGAAUGUUAUAGCUUUUUUUUUAUCAUAACUAAUUUAUAAAAUAUAACUAUUUUAAAUUAUGAUAAAAAAUAUUAUUUAUAAGAAGUGUUAUAAAAGUUAUCGGACAACUUAUAAAAUCUUAUUUAUAAAGGUUAUAUAUUAUAAAUUUUAUACCAUUUUUACUUAAUUUAUGUAUUAUAAAAAGAUAUAUAACCUAGCAUAAUUUUUUUCUCCAAAUUAAGUUGAUAUAAGUUUUUAUAAUUAAAGUUACUACUAUUUGGACUGUGAACCCAAAUAUUAUAAGUCGAUGCUAAUUAUGCAAAUACAAAAUGUUCUCUUGUACUAUAUCGUGGGGUAUGAUAUCAUUUGAGAAAAUGAUAUUAGACACAAACACCAUAGAUAACUCACAAAGUUUUUAAUUUGAGAUAUUUAAGGCUUCGAAAUAUGAUUAAAAAGACAUUUGCUACUCUAAAAAUAUAUUUCCCAUAUUAACAUUACCUUAGUAUAGCAUAAAAAAAAGGUUAGAUUGUACUAGCAUGUUGCAUAUUUCAUAACUGUAAUUAUAGGUGGAAUUAAUAUGAUCCAUACUUUGAAGAGUAUAUGAAAUAAUGAGAUCUUGAUAAUCUUAAUGAUGCAAAUUAUAAUUCAAAUGAUGAUGAACUCGAUCAAUGAUCAACAGAUAAUGAUAAUAAGAAGUAUAUAUUAAAUAUUAAAGGGGGAAUAACCCAACAAAUAUAUACUAGAACAAUUACAUAAAAUUGGAUAUGAUGUUUAUUUUUCUUGUUAUUUUCAUUUCUAAUACUAAAAUAAUAUAUAUAAUGAUUUGAUUUUAAUUUUUAUUAAAGAAAAUAUUUUUAUUAUACUAAUAAUUUUUUAUAGCAAUUAAUAUUUUUAAAAAUAUAAAUUAUAUAAUUGUGUAAUUACAAUUUAUACUAUCAAACGUGACAUAAAGAAUUACGAUAUAACUACACUUCGUCAACUAAACAUGUCUAACGAAUUACAAUUCUUUGUAAUUACAAAAGAAUGUAAUUAUCACUUUAAUAAUUAUACUUUCAUUCAAUUAGAGAACCAAAUCCGAGGCAAGAGAUUAAUUGAAAUAAAAUUGCAAUAAAAAAAUUAAAAUCCUUAAUUAGAGAACCAAAUUCUAAUGGUGUUUCCUAAUAUAGUUUUCGUCACAAAAGCAUCCACAACAUUAAAGUUCCACUAUAUAGUAUCCCAAUUCAAUCUCAUUUCCGAUUCUGCGUCAUUAGAUAAGCUAAUUCCAGUUAAAAGAACUUCUUGUAUUGAUGUCUGACUGUAUACAGUUCAUCGCAGUUAUAACAUGCAUUUUUAGUGACAGUGAAAAUGGCCUACAAAAGCACUAAAUUCUGUCACUAAAACUCAGUCACCUACCAUACAAAUUAACUCCACUUCCACUGUUAUAUUAGUGACAAGUCAAUUAGCCGAUUUUUUAAUGACUGCGUUUCUUUGUCUAAUUAAUUUCAAACAUUUUGUCACGAAUACACAUUUAAAUAGCGUCUAAAAACAUGUUAUCAUGAACCUGGUUGAUGUUGGAAUUGAUUCGUCUGAUUUAUUUAAAUAAAUUAUUAAAAUCAUAAAAUUUUAAAAGUAAAGAAAAUUGGUUUAACUAACUUUUUAAAUCUUAUUCAUUAAGUUCAUAUCCAUUUGCGAGUCUACUAAUCCAAUUUUUUUAUUAUUUUAGAUCGAUUCUCAAUCUAAUUACAGUCUAAUUCAAUUUUAAAAACCUAACAGUUAUUACAUAUUUCGAAUUAUUUAACGAAUUUGUGUCAAUAGUUUUCCUAACUUAUUGUCACCCUCAAAAAGUUGAGAUAUCGAGACUGCCAUAUUCGUUAGGGAAUUGAAAUUGGCCUCUGUACCUUGUCAAAGUCCUAUGAUUAUUUCAGACACGUAGCAUUUACUGCUUCUGUUCAAAGACUACAGUAAGGCUCAUGGAUAAGGUGUAUUUGAUCCAAAUCAUAAGGGGGAGGGAAGCAAUAAUUGCCAACUUAAUUUGAUAAUGUGAACGGCUGUGAAACAAACUUAUCUGCCUCGUUAGUCUGUUGAUUUCUGGAAGAAUUGUUCACACUGAUGCAACCAAAUCAAUGGAUCAUUCAACCCAUCAAAAUUAGCAAAUUUUAAUUUCGUGUAUCUCAAGGCAACUUUUUCAACUCACCUGGCAAAGGCAUUUAGUCUAUACCCAGGUUGUAUUGUUGCUUGUAAAAUCGCAAUAAAUAAACCUGGAAAAUAAAUCAGCUUAAAUAAAAUUAUAAUUUAAAACCAUAUGCCUUAAUUAAAGAACCGAAACUAGUGACCUUUCCUAGUUCGGCCACAAAAGCAUCCACAAUAAAUACAUUGAACUACAAAUUAUAUGGCUCCAUCACAUGUUAGUAUUCUCCUUAUUUCAAAAAAAAAAAAAAAAAAAGAGUUAGUAUUCUCCUUUAGUCCUUGUAAUGAAUAUACAAUACACAAAGGUCCAAUGGCUCUGUAGAAUCAGCUACUACAUCAUAUCUUAGAUGUGACAAUGCAAAGCUCGUGCAUGACUGUGUUGCCACAGCUGCCUAGUAGCUUGCAAGCCAUGCGUAGAUGUAAUAUUCCGACAAGAUCUUUUGCAUUGCAGCUAAUCUUAUUGUUCACCUUCACCUUUGUCCAAUGAAGCAGAUAAAUAGCUCAAGAUGAAGCUGUCUAGAUCUCCCUCUAGCACAGAAUCGGGAUCAGAGACCUCAUAAUUGGUCCUCAGAUCCUUCACCAAGCGAUAAGGCUGCACCAACAGAUAGCAAAACAAAGUUUAGUGUGAACGAAUUUGUUUCUUGUCAGAAGGGAACUUACAGUGCAAGUUUCAUGGCAGCAGAGCAUUUACAUUAAGGACAUAAGUACGUAUCUGGUUGCCCCAACUUAUCUCGGUAAGAGAUUGUGUGUGCUGGGAAUUCAUCUGUGCUUGACGAGCCAUCUCAAGCUGGUCUAAUCGAGACUGAAGCACAGCCAUUGCUGAGGCCUUAUUCUGAUGUUGUGAUCUGUGUGUUUACAACUAAAUUAUGAGCUUGGAUUAAAGAGAAAACAAGAGUAAUCGGGCUCCAUUAUUAGCAAAAACAAAACAGGAAAACUGCAGUGGUUUUGACAAUCAGCAUACUAUUCACACCUUUCAUUUUGACAAGUAGCAGUUACUCCUGUGGGAAUGUGGACAAUUCUCACAGCACUCUCAGUCGUGUUAACAUGCUGACCACCGGCUCCCCCAGCACGAAACCGUUCAAUACAAAGGUCAGAUUCAUUAAUUUGUACUCGAGAAGAUCCGUCACCUAGGAUUGGAAUUACAGCAACAGCAGCAAAUGAAGUAUGCCGGCGUUUUCCACUGUCAAAAGGUGAGAUACGAACUAACCUAUGAACUCCUACUUCUGCUUUGGCAUAUCCAAAAGCGUAUUCACCAUCAACUUUUAUAGUUGCUCGCUGAAAGAAUAAACAACAUCAGGUCAAAAACUUCUAGCCUCCUUCCAAGGAAUUAAUCGAAACAGAGCCAAAAGAAUCUUAAUUAAAACCUAAAAGUAGACGGUUUAAGGGACUUCAUGCUUAGCACUCAACUGGCCUUAAAGUUCCCAGAUAUUGUUGAAUGUGUGUUAUUCUAUGCAUGUUUAGUUCCCUCUAUACCAAAAUAGGAUAUAAAAAUUGAUAUUAAUGCAGCUUAAAUGAAGGAUGAACAGGGAUAAGAUAUGAACCUUGAUGCCUGCAAUUUCACCCGGCAUUUCAUCCACUACUGUUACUCCAUAGCCACGCCGUUGGGCCCAGGUUUUAUACAUUUGCAUAACCAUUGCUGCCCAAUCCAUGCUCUCAGUUCCUCCAGCUCCAGCUUGUACCUACACCAUAAACCAAAAGAUCGAGGUUGAGAUUGUGAUUGGCAGCAAAAAAAAGCAGAAGGUUUUGAUUAUCCGUUGGGACAAUGGAAUAUAAGAAAGGAAACCCUUAACUUCAAGGCAUUACAUUUUUCUUUCAAAUGCAUUGAACACAGUCAAAGAAGUAUAUAAGUGAAACCUCUAUAUAACAAGAGCAAGAAUCGUGCUCUCCAGCUAACAAAGCUUCAAGCUCCUUGUCCUUUGAAUCUCUUCUCAUCCUCAGCAAUGCUUUCACUGAUUCCUGCAGAGGAAAAACUUACUAAGUAAGAAUUGGCCACUAGAGGAAGAUGCUUAGUAAAAUACAAGUGCCACAUCAGUGUCAUUUCAUCAAAUCUUGCUAAAUCACCUUUUGAUCACGAAAGUAAAUAACAUCUUUCGAUCACCAAAAAUAUGCAUUAAUGAUAUGUAUAAUUAAUCUAAAGAAACUAAAAGAAGUAAUUGCAUUAUCAUCUACAAACCUAUGAGAAACAAGCCCUUAAUCAUAAAACAUAAGAAUGAAGACAUGCCUAGAUAAGAAGUAAGAGCCCACCGAUUCCAACUCAGUGUCAUCCUCUUCCCUUGCAAGUUUUAUCAUAUCUAUAUGUUCAAGCAAUUCUUGCUCAAACGCCUUCACUUCUUUCAUUUUACCCAUUAGUGAGCCGUGUUCACGGCUUAUCUUACCAGCAUGGACAGGAUCAUUCCAAAGGUCAGGCUUAUUCAGCUCUGCAGAUAACAAAUCCAAUCUAACCAUCAAUUUCUUCCACUGCAUCCAAAAAGACAAUGAAGAGUUUAACAAACAUGUUCUUAUGGAAAGUCCACUGAGAGAGAUUUUAGUAGAAAGUAAAUUCAAAUAUAUAAAAGCAGAAACUGAAAUCACAAUUUCAUCAAUCAUUUGUCUUCACAUAUAUAAGUUCCCACUAAAGAACCAUGAGAGUUUACAAAAGGAAAGAACAAAAUAGCUGCAGAACUCCAAUCUCAAAUAUUAAUUUAAUACCAUUAUUAAGAUAAAAUAUAACCCUGAAAAGCAUGAACUUUCAUCUCACACUGGAUAUAAGGAUUGACUAAAUGCCAAUAAAACUAAUACCUGAAGGCGUCUCUUGAUAACUUGAAUGGACUGAGCAAUUGCAGCAGCAUGGCUCUUCCAAUCACUUUCACUCUCCUCAAGAAUUGUCCACUUACUGCUAGCAAUCCCAUCUACUGUGAGUCCAUCAGAUGUACAUGGUUCAAUAGCAGCCUGGGAACCAAAUUCUCUUGCCCAGAUCCAGCCUUUUCGAUUUAAACGCAAGGAAUGUUGAUUUUGUGAACCCAAAAGGCUUGAACUUGGAAGGAAAGAAAAGGACCCAAACGGCUUUUUCAGUGAGUUAUGCAAAAUCGAAGAACACCCAGGAUCAAAAACCUUGGAGUUCUGAUUGGAAUCUAGAAAAUUGUCAAGAGGAUGUAAGGAAGAAAAAGCUCUGGUUUUGGUUCUAAUGUAUUGAGAUAUGCAAAAGGAUCCAUUACUCGAUCUCUUGAAAAUAAAAUAAGACAUAUUUAGAAGGGAAAAAAAGAGUCUUCUUUUACCCCAAAUGAUUGGUUUUUUGGGGGUUUAAGAGGAACUAUAUAUCAAUUUUCUUGUUCUCAAGGGUUUAUUGCCAUUGGAAAGGCGGGACCCUGAAACGACGCAGUUUUCGGUAUUGGAGAAUGCUGGAUAAAUUAAAAGAUCCAAUUUACCAACUACCAUAACGUGACACAAAUGCCCUUCUUUUCCCUUCACCAAGCCCAACAAUGCUUCUUCCUUCACAGUCCAAAACCCUUGUCUAAAUUUCCCAGAGCCAGAACCCUGUUCUUCCUCUGCUCAAAAAUGUCUUCAAAUUCCAAUUCCCUCCAAAAUUACCCAACACCACUAUCCCCUCCCUUGCCAUCAAUCUCGAAAGACAUAGAGCUUGCCAGAGCCAUGUCAGCUUCUUCAAAAUCAAGCCUUUUUGGACUCUCAAGAAGUGAUAUUUUAUAUGAAGACGAGUGGCUCAUUGCUGUCAACAAGCCUCAGGGGAUUUAUUGUGAUACCAUUCUGGCCUCAGUUCCUCGCUUUCUAUCUGACUCGGCCCCGUCAGAUCGGCUCUGUGAAGGUCUUUCUACCUUUUCUUGGUUUAUUCAGCGAUUUUUUUCUUCUUUUUAAUUUAGUUUAUGGCUUCUGCCCAAAUAUAUAUAUUAUACUUUGUGGCUAAUUGUGAAAUAUUGGUUUCUGGGUUGACUAGCAUAAUCUCAUUACCAAAGUAUUCAACUCUUGCCAUGGUAAAGUUUGUUUCUUGCUGAAAUAAGCUGAUCUUAGAUGUACUUCCCUGAAAUUGGACUUUUUUUUAUGUAAAAGGAAUUCAUUCAUUCAUAAUUGAAUAGCAUCAUUCAUAAGUGAAUAGUAUUCAACUCCUUGCCAUGAUUGGCUUGGCAAGCACUGAAAUUCCUCAUUAAGCCUGUACAAAUAAACUAUAGGGCCAAUGGGGGAUAAAUCCUCAUCCGUUCCAUUUAGAGCCUUUACACUGAAAAGCAUCGCCUUCCAAAUUGAUGCUUUGGAACCCCAUUUUGGCAUCAAAUUCAAGGGCUUUAUAUGCAGCCAAAGCUUCAACCAGGGAUUUAAAUUGCGGUCGCGGUCGCGUUUUCGGUCGCGUCGCGUUUGUCGCGGUCGCGGACAUAACGGACGCUAUUGCGGUCACUGCGGGUAUCGCGGUCGUGAAUUUUACAUUACUUAUUGUGUAUUGCGGGUAUAGCGGGUUUCGGCAGUAACGGUUUCGGACGGUGCCAUUACCGCUAUAUAACGGCCGCUAUUUCGGUAACGGACCGCUAUUUAAAUCCCUGGCUUCAACUAUAAAGGCAUUCAUAGCUUUGUUGAUUCUGGAAGCCACAGCCCCCAUAACGAAGCCUUAGUGAUCCUUGACCAUCACACCAACACUGCCCUUUAGAUCAUCUUCAAUAAAGGAGCUAUCAAGGUUCACUUUCAGUUUAUUAGCACUUGGGGCUUUCCAGCGUGUAAUGUCUGAUUGCACAUAGGUGGGGUUGUGAUUUGCAUCCUUUUGAACUUCCUUGUAGGCUAAAUCUCACAUAACAAUAUUUCGAGCUUCCCAAACAGCCCAAAGCAUCAUAACUGCUAUCAAAGCCAUCCUUGUUAGGUAUCUUUCCCCCUUUUCUAACCAAUCAACCACUCAAGCAAUACUUGACAACGUGAUUCUAUGGGAGAAGCCGCUAAGUUUGAGCAUCUCCUUGGAUAGUGGGCAGCUCCUUAGCAUGAGUAUCCCAUCCUCUUCUUCCCCUUGACAUCACUCACAUUCUGUUUCAAUGUCCAGCAACCUUUUG